UGGGGAAUCUUGGACAAUGGGCGAAAGCCUGACGGAGCGACACCGCGUACAGGAUGAAGGCCUUCGGGUUGUAAACUGUUGUCACGCUAUAGGAACCCCUUGGUGUUAAUAGCGCCAAGGCUGACUAAAGCGAGAGGAAGCAACGGCUAACUCUGUGCCAGCAGCCGCGGUAAGACAGAGGUUGCAAACGUUGUUCGGAAUCACUGGGCAUAAAGCGCACGUAGGCGGUCUGUUAAGUCAGGUGUGAAAGCCCCGGCUCAACCGGGGAACAGCAUUUGAUACUGGCAGACUCGAGGAUGGUAGGGGUGAGUGGAACUCCAGGUGGAGCGGUGAAAU
Molecule: ribosomal RNA, 336 nt
Filed under: uncultured bacterium
Lineage: Bacteria
Description: bacterial SSU rRNA
Rfam family: Bacterial small subunit ribosomal RNA
Source: RNAcentral